RNAcentral lists this transfer RNA (90 nucleotides) under Venatoribacter cucullus. Its description in RNAcentral is "Oceanospirillaceae bacterium xL5 tRNA-Ser". It matches the Rfam family "tRNA". Rfam says of the family: Transfer RNA (tRNA) molecules are approximately 80 nucleotides in length. Their secondary structure includes four short double-helical elements and three loops (D, anti-codon, and T loops). Lineage: Bacteria; Pseudomonadati; Pseudomonadota; Gammaproteobacteria; Oceanospirillales; Oceanospirillaceae. The record is from RNAcentral. RNAcentral also lists the same sequence under 1 other name.
GGUGAGGUGUCCGAGUGGUUGAAGGAGCACGCCUGGAAAGCGUGUAUAGGUUUAUCCCUAUCGAGGGUUCGAAUCCCUCCCUCACCGCCA